AUUGAACGCUGGCGGCAGGCUUGACACAUGCAAGUCGAACGGGGUGAUGGUGCUUGCACUAUCACUUAGCGGCGGACGGGUGAGUAAUGCUUAGGAAUCUGCCUAUUAGUGGGGGACAACAUCUCGAAAGGGAUGCUAAUACCGCAUACGUCCUACGGGAGAAAGCAGGGGAUCACUUGUGACCUUGCGCUAAUAGAUGAGCCUAAGUCGGAUUAGCUAGUUGGUGGGGUAAAGGCCUACCAAGGCGAAGAUCUGUAGCGGGUCUGAGAGGAUGAUCCGCCGCGCUGGGACUGAGACACGGCCCAGACUCCUACGGGAGGCAGCAGUGGGGAAUAUUGGACAAUGGGGGGAACCCUGAUCCAGCCAUGCCGCGUGUGUGAAGAAGGCCUUAUGGUUGUAAAGCACUUUAAGCGAGGAGGAGGCUCUUUUGGUUAAUACCCAAGAUGAGUGGACGUUACUCGCAGAAUAAGCACCGGCUAACUCUGUGCCAGCCGCCGCCGUAA
RNAcentral lists this ribosomal RNA (503 nucleotides) under uncultured bacterium. Its description in RNAcentral is "partial 16S ribosomal RNA". It matches the Rfam family "Bacterial small subunit ribosomal RNA", at positions 30 to 523 of the family's 1533-position model. The record is from RNAcentral.